UGUCAUCAGUUUCUUCAUCUGGUUGAGCUGUGGAUUUGAGGGCGAUUGUUCUCUUCUUUUUAACUUCUUCCUCUUGGUGUUGUUUCAUGCUCAGCUCAUGUGUCAUUAAUGAUUCAAGAAGCUCUUCCAAGGGUAGAAUGUUCAAAUCCUUGGCUUCUUGGAUGGCGGUCACUUUGGCUUCCCAAGUUCUUGGUAAGGACCUGAGAAUCUUUCUUACAAGCUCACUGUUAGAAUAGGAUUUACCAAGACUCUUUAAACCAUUUAUAAUAUCAGUAAAGCGAGUAAACAUUUCAGUUAUGGACUCAUCAUGCUUCAUUUUAAACAAUUCAUAUUUAUGCACGAGCAUGUUAAUUUUGGACUCCUUUACUU
RNAcentral lists this long non-coding RNA (369 nucleotides) under Elaeis guineensis (African oil palm). RNAcentral describes it as "long non-coding RNA (EGUI_LNC072431)". The record is from RNAcentral. Lineage: Eukaryota; Viridiplantae; Streptophyta; Magnoliopsida; Arecales; Arecaceae.